Pseudophryne corroboree (corroboree frog) is the source of this 201-nucleotide long non-coding RNA. RefSeq lists it as uncharacterized. The transcript is spliced from 2 exons. Lineage: Eukaryota; Metazoa; Chordata; Amphibia; Anura; Myobatrachidae. The record is from RefSeq and is a predicted model, not a curated record.
GCCGGUCACAUGAAUACCACCCCUAUGCCUGAUAGUGCCUCCUCCCAAGCUCUAACUCUUCCAGUCCAAUCAGUGUUAGCUCAGAAAUACAGUAACUAGCAUACUGUAAAUAGAGAUGAAUGAAGAAAGCACAGGUUUAUUGUACCAGAUACAACUGCAACAAUGGAACUUCAAAGUUACAAUAAAGAAAAUAUAAUUAUC